RNAcentral lists this long non-coding RNA (218 nucleotides) under Elaeis guineensis (African oil palm). RNAcentral's name for it is "long non-coding RNA (EGUI_LNC014005)". The record is from RNAcentral. Lineage: Eukaryota; Viridiplantae; Streptophyta; Magnoliopsida; Arecales; Arecaceae.
GCAUGAAUUAUGUUGCAUAAUUAAAAUUGAUUUCGAAUUGAUGAACUCUAUAUGCUUAUUUUCUAUAAAUGAUUAUUUACUUAAAUGCCUGAUGAAAUCUGUUGAGAAGUAAUCAUUGCUUACUGGGCUAUCUAGCUCAUUACCUCUUAUUUUACUGUUUUUACAGAUGUUGAGGAAUUAAGAUGAUACAAGAUAUGAAUGGAAGAGUGAUCAGAAGC